UCCUUUCUUUUUAAAUAAGACUUACUAGUGAGUGAUAAAAGCAAAUUUGUAAAAUUUAAUUAAUGUAUAUUAUAUGGUGUAAAAUGUGAAAUGUAUUAUUGAUAUUAUCCUCAAAUGGAAAAUGCUUAAAUAGUGUAAACAGAAAGUAGUGUAUACAAUGUUCCAAAAAUGUUUCCUGAGUUAAAAUCGUGAAGAAUUUCACUGACCAGUUUACAGCUUUCAGUCUUUAUACAGAGCGAAGAUCGCCGUAAACAACCAGUUGAACUCCCAAUCAUGCGGCAUGCCAAGCCAUGUAGUACGAGUAAUCUGUCAACCAAUUUAUUGUCAUCCUCGUUUGCCCUUCUGUUUCAAUUGGCGCCACAUUCACAUUCUCGCUCUCUCCGUAAUACAUUUGACCUUAUUCGACUGGAUUCAUUCGUAGCGUCCUUCGCAUUUAACCUUGGUACUGUUUUUGAUUCUUGGCGACAACUUUUGCUGCAUUUCUGCAUUUAGCUGAAUAUGUUGCUUUUACUUUCAUAAUGUUUUUUAAUUGAAAAUAUUAAUAUACAUAUAUACGAGUACAUAGUAUAUAUACACAUACUGUUUUUUGGGGGAAAUAUAACUAGCUAAAAGAAAAUGAUUUCUAAUGAUAUCAAUCAAAAUUUUUCAGCUAAGGUUUGAACAGAGUGGAACGUUUAUGUUUUUUGACUUUUGGUUUUAGUUCUCAAUAUGUGGAUAGUCGAAAAAGUCUUUUCGUAGUUUGUCAAUAGAUGUCGUUACAGUCGUAUAUCUCCAGUGCUACCAA
Bactrocera tryoni is the source of this 784-nucleotide long non-coding RNA. RefSeq lists it as uncharacterized. The record is from RefSeq and is a predicted model, not a curated record. NCBI's taxonomy places the organism in Eukaryota, Metazoa, Arthropoda, Insecta, Diptera, Tephritidae. The transcript has 3 exons.